Long non-coding RNA from Carcharodon carcharias (great white shark), 266 nucleotides. RefSeq lists it as uncharacterized. Lineage: Eukaryota; Metazoa; Chordata; Chondrichthyes; Lamniformes; Lamnidae. The record is from RefSeq and is a predicted model, not a curated record. The transcript has 3 exons.
UGAUAUACAUCCACAUAUGGAGUUCAGUCUCAUUCCAGGUUAGUUGAACACCAGUGAUGUCAGUUGAACACCAGUGAUGUCAUUUGAACACCAGUGAUGUCAGUUGGGCACCAGUGAUGUAAGCUGAACACCGGUGAUGUCAUCUGAACACCAGUGAGGGUUUCACACAGCAGUGUCCUGGAGAUUGACCUUCAACUCCUGGAGGGUUUCUGGAAGGAGGUGGGUAGGAACUAAAAUACCCCGGCCACUUGGUACGUCACUGACUG